Molecule: long non-coding RNA, 334 nt
Filed under: Panax ginseng (ginseng)
Lineage: Eukaryota; Viridiplantae; Streptophyta; Magnoliopsida; Apiales; Araliaceae
Description: long non-coding RNA (PGIN_LNC013059)
Source: RNAcentral
AGGAAAUGAGAAUAUAGCUGGGACUAGUUGAGGAAUGGAGUGAUGGUCCGAAAUGGUGGUUAUAGUAGUCCUCACUAUUUUUAUAAAAUAGUGUGAUAAUAAUUGUAAUGAGUACUCCAUUGAGUGUAGAUAUUGUCUAGAAGGCAAUAUUCGUGUUUAAACUAUCAGCUAUGUUUUGUCGUAUUUUGCACGACAGUUGUAUAAUUAAGUUUGUAGUUGAGUUCUGUACCAUGUAUCUGGCGACUCAAGAUGGGUGAUGUAUACCUGUUUUGGGGGCGUCACAUAUUAGGUCUUCAGACAAAGCUUAAUAAAUUGCAUAACAGUAAUCGAUCGA